GAAUGCUGACAUAAGUAACGAUAAAGCGGGUGAAAAGCCCGCUCGCCGGAAGACCAAGGGUUCCUGUCCAACGUUAAUCGGGGCAGGGUGAGUCGACCCCUAAGGCGAGGCCGAAAGGCGUAGUCGAUGGGAAACGGGUUAAUAUUCCCGUACUUGGUGUUACUGCGAAGGGGGGACGGAGAAGGCUAUGUUGGCCGGGCGACGGUUGUCCCGGUUUAAGCGUGUAGGUGUGUGUUCCAGGUAAAUCCGGUUCACUUUAACACUGAGGCGUGACGACGAGGCACUACGGUGCUGAAGCAACAAAUGCCCUGCUUCCAGGAAAAGCCUCUAAGCAUCAGGUAACAUCAAAUCGUACCCCAAACCGACACAGGUGGUCAGGUAGAGAAUACCAAGGCGCUUGAGAGAACUCGGGUGAAGGAACUAGGCAAAAUGGUGCCGUAACUUCGGGAGAAGGCACGCUGACACGUAGGUGAAGUGAUUUACUCAUGGAGCUGAAGUCAGUCGAAGAUACCAGCUGGCUGCAACUGUUUAUUAAAAACACAGCACUGUGCAAACACGAAAGUGGACGUAUACGGUGUGACGCCUGCCCGGUGCCGGAAGGUUAAUUGAUGGGGUCAGCGCAAGCGAAGCUCCUGAUCGAAGCCCCGGUAAACGGCGGCCGUAACUAUAACGGUCCUAAGGUAGCGAAAUUCCUUGUCGGGUAAGUUCCGACCUGCACGAAUGGCGUAAUGAUGGCCAGGCUGUCUCCACCCGAGACUCAGUGAAAUUGAACUCGCUGUGAAGAUGCAGUGUACCCGCGGCAAGACGGAAAGACCCCGUGAACCUUUACUAUAGCUUGACACUGAACAUUGAGCCUUGAUGUGUAGGAUAGGUGGGAGGCUUUGAAGCGUGGACGCCAGUCUGCGUGGAGCCGGCCUUGAAAUACCACCCUUUAAUGUUUGAUGUUCUAACGUGGACCCGU
RNAcentral lists this ribosomal RNA (961 nucleotides) under Salmonella enterica. RNAcentral's name for it is "partial 23S ribosomal RNA". It matches the Rfam family "Bacterial large subunit ribosomal RNA", at positions 1292 to 2236 of the family's 2925-position model. RNAcentral also lists the same sequence under 2 other names. The record is from RNAcentral. Lineage: Bacteria; Pseudomonadati; Pseudomonadota; Gammaproteobacteria; Enterobacterales; Enterobacteriaceae.